Molecule: ribosomal RNA, 611 nt
Filed under: uncultured bacterium
Lineage: Bacteria
Description: bacterial SSU rRNA
Rfam family: Bacterial small subunit ribosomal RNA (bases 1-543)
Source: RNAcentral
CCUACGGGAGGCAGCAGUUUCGAAUCAUUCACAAUGGGCGAAAGCCUGAUGGUGCGACGCCGCGUGAGGGAUGAAGGUCUUCGGAUUGUAAACCUCUGUCACCGGGGAAGAAACGCUUCAAGUUAAUAGUUUGAAGCCUGACUUAACCCGGAGAGGAAGCAGUGGCUAACUCUGUGCCAGCAGCCGCGGUAAUACAGAGACUGCAAGCGUUAUUCGGAUUCACUGGGCGUAAAGGGUGCGCAGGCGGCCAAGUGUGUGAGGCGUGAAAGCCCGGAGCUUAACUCCGGAAUCGCACCUCAAACUACUUGGCUAGAGCAUUGGAGAGGGUAGCAGAAUUCACGGUGUAGCAGUGAAAUGCGUAGAUAUCGUGAGGAAUACCAGAGGCGAAGGCGGCUACCUAGACAAUUGCUGACGCUCAGGCACGAAAGCGUGGGGAGCAAAAGGGAUUAGAUACCCCUGUAGUCCACGCCCUAAACGGUGCACACUAGGUCUUGGCGGAUUCGACCCCACCAGGGCCCAAGCUAACGCGUUAAGNGUGCCGCCUGNGACGACGCGCGAGACGAACGUUAAGAGUAGACGCGNGAGAGNGCGAGACGACGACGAGGAGGAGG